ACCAUAUAAAAUUUAAAUUAACCAUAAUUUAUUUCUUUAUAUGGUAUAAUAAAAUCGGAGGCCACGACUGUUUACUAAAAACACAAUUCAGAGCAAUGAUUAAGAUAAUAGUAUUCUGAAUGAAAUUUGCUCAAUGCCAUUAAUAUAAGAGAGGUAAUUUUAAAGUUACUAAUUGAAAGUCUGGUUAAUAGCGGUCUUAACUAUGAGGAUCCUAAGGUAGCAAAAUAAAUUGGCCAUUAAAUGUGGUCUAGUAUCAAUAAUGUAACGAUGGNCUCACUGUCUCUACA
Molecule: ribosomal RNA, 287 nt
Filed under: Russula cf. xerampelina
Lineage: Eukaryota; Fungi; Basidiomycota; Agaricomycetes; Russulales; Russulaceae
Description: partial ribosomal RNA large subunit
Rfam family: Bacterial large subunit ribosomal RNA
Source: RNAcentral